AAGUCGUAACAAGGUUUCUGUAGGUAAACCUGCGGAAGGAUCAUUACCUUUCUAGCUAUUUAAUAGCUUGUCUGGGGGCUGCAGUUUCUGUAGUCUCUAACUACAUCUGUGUUUUUUGUGUACUACAUGUUUCCUUGGCGGGCUUGCUUGCCGGUUAGACAAACUAAAACUCUUUGUAAUUGCAAUCAGCGUCUGAACUAUAUAAUAAUUACAA
RNAcentral lists this unclassified non-coding RNA (214 nucleotides) under plant metagenome. RNAcentral describes it as "partial contains small subunit ribosomal RNA and internal transcribed spacer 1". The stretch from base 1 to 46 matches the Rfam family "Eukaryotic small subunit ribosomal RNA", at positions 1786 to 1831 of the family's 1831-position model. The record is from RNAcentral.